CCUACGGGAGGCAGCAGUGGGGAAUAUUGCACAAUGGGGGAAACCCUGAUGCAGCGACGCCGCGUGAGUGAAGGAGUAUUUCGGUAUGUAAAGCUCUAUCAGCAGGGAAGAAAAUGACGGUACCUGACUAAGAAGCCCCGGCUAACUACGUGCCAGCAGCCGCGGUAAUACGUAGGGGGCAAGCGUUAUCCGGAUUUACUGGGUGUAAAGGGAGCGUAGACGGCAGCACAAGUCUGGAGUGAAAUGCCGGGGCUUAACCCCGGAACUGCUUUGGAAACUGUGCGGCUAGAGUGCAGGAGAGGUAAGUGGAAUUCCUAGUGUAGCGGUGAAAUGCGUAGAUAUUAGGAGGAACACCAGUGGCGAAGGCGGCUUACUGGACUGUAACUGACGUUGAGGCUCGAAAGCGUGGGGAGCAAACAGGAUUAGAUACCCUUGUAGUC
This 440-nucleotide ribosomal RNA is filed under the name uncultured bacterium. Its description in RNAcentral is "partial 16S ribosomal RNA". It matches the Rfam family "Bacterial small subunit ribosomal RNA", at positions 338 to 795 of the family's 1533-position model. The record is from RNAcentral.